UACGUAGGGAGCAAGCGUUGUCCGGAAUUACUGGGCGUAAAGGGCGCGUAGGCGGAUUGUUAAGUCAGAUGUGAAAUCUCCGGGCUCAACCCGGAGCGUGCAUUUGAAACUGGCUAUCUUGAGGGCAGGAGAGGAAAGUGGAAUUCCUAGUGUAGCGGUGAAAUGCGUAGAUAUUAGGAGGAACACCAGUGGCGAAGGCGACUUUCUGGACUGAACCUGACGCUGAGGCGCGAAAGCAUGGGUAGCGAACGGG
This 253-nucleotide ribosomal RNA is filed under the name uncultured bacterium. RNAcentral describes it as "partial 16S ribosomal RNA". It matches the Rfam family "Bacterial small subunit ribosomal RNA", at positions 524 to 776 of the family's 1533-position model. RNAcentral also lists the same sequence under 1 other name. The record is from RNAcentral.